RNAcentral lists this ribosomal RNA (460 nucleotides) under uncultured bacterium. RNAcentral describes it as "partial 16S ribosomal RNA". It matches the Rfam family "Bacterial small subunit ribosomal RNA", at positions 338 to 795 of the family's 1533-position model. The record is from RNAcentral.
CCUACGGGAGGCUGCAGUGAGGAAUAUUGGUCAAUGGACGAGAGUCUGAACCAGCCAAGUAGCGUGAAGGAUGACUGCCCUAUGGGUUGUAAACUUCUUUUAUAAAGGAAUAAAACGAGGCACGUGUGCCUUUUUGCAUGUACUUUAUGAAUAAGGAUCGGCUAACUCCGUGCCAGCAGCCGCGGUAAUACGGAGGAUCCGAGCGUUAUCCGGAUUUAUUGGGUUUAAAGGGAGCGUAGAUGGGUUGUUAAGUCAGGUGUGAAAGUUUGCGGCUCAACCGUAAAAUUGCAAUUGAUACUGGCAGUCUAGAGUACAGUUGAGGUAGGCGGAAUUCGUGGUGUAGCGGUGAAAUGCUUAGAUAUCACGAAGAACCCCGAUUGCGAAGGCAGCUUACUAAACUGUGACUGACAUUGAUGCUCGAAAGUGUGGGUAUCAAACAGGAUUAGAUACCCCGGUAGUC